AGAGUUUGAUCAUGGCUCAGAACGAACGCUGGCGGCAGGCCUAACACAUGCAAGUCGAGCGCCCAGCAAUGGGAGCGGCGGACGGGUGAGUAACGCGUGGGAAUUUUUCCUGGAGUACGGAACAACCGAGGGAAACUUCGGCUAAUACCGUAUGAUGUCUAGCGACCAAAGAUUUAUCGCUCUGGGGUAAGCCCGCGUCAGAUUAGGUAGUUGGUGGGGUAACGGCCUACCAAGCCUGCGAUCUGUAGCUGGUCUGAGAGGACGAUCAGCCACACUGGGACUGAGACACGGCCCAGACUCCUACGGGAGGCAGCAGUGGGGAAUCUUGCGCAAUGGGCGAAAGCCUGACGCAGCCAUGCCGCGUGAGUGAAGAAGGUCUUAGGAUUGUAAAGCUCUUUCGCUCGUGACGAUGAUGACGGUAACGAGAGAAGAGCC
RNAcentral lists this ribosomal RNA (435 nucleotides) under uncultured Holospora sp. RNAcentral's name for it is "bacterial SSU rRNA". It matches the Rfam family "Bacterial small subunit ribosomal RNA", at positions 8 to 491 of the family's 1533-position model. The record is from RNAcentral. Lineage: Bacteria; Pseudomonadati; Pseudomonadota; Alphaproteobacteria; Holosporales; Holosporaceae.